Non-coding RNA from Hippopotamus amphibius kiboko, 453 nucleotides. The record is from the annotation of a RefSeq genome assembly. NCBI's taxonomy places the organism in Eukaryota, Metazoa, Chordata, Mammalia, Artiodactyla, Hippopotamidae.
AUGCUUUCUGCUGCUCACUCAGUUCUUGUGAUCCUCUUAAUAUUCAGAGGGACCAACGGAGACUCAGUGAACCAGACAGAAGGCCCAGUGACGCUCUCAGAGGGGGCUUUUAUGAUCUUGAACUGCAAUUACCAGGCCACUUAUUCAGAUCCCUAUCUUUUCUGGUAUGUCCAGUAUCUCAACAAAGCUCCUCAACUUCUCCUGAAAAGCUUGAAGGCAAACAAGACGGAAGAGUAUCAAGGUUUUCAGGCCACUCUUGUUAAGACUGACAGCUCCUUCCAUCUGCGGAAACCCUCAGUGCAAACAUCAGACUCGGCUGUGUACUACUGUGCUGUGAGGGACACAGUGAGAGGGGCAGCAGGGGGAGCUGAACGCAAACCCAAGGGGAGCAGGAGGGCUGAAGUGAGCAGCCUUGGGAGGAAGAAGUAUUGUCUCUCCUUGGGCAGGGUUUAG